GUGGGCGUGAUGUAAUUGGCAAACAUGCGAGAUUUAGGUUCUCGUGUCGAGAGAUGUGCGGGUUCGAAUCCCGUCGCCCACUCCA
This 85-nucleotide transfer RNA is filed under the name Caudoviricetes sp. RNAcentral describes it as "tRNA-Leu". It matches the Rfam family "tRNA". From Rfam's summary of the family: Transfer RNA (tRNA) molecules are approximately 80 nucleotides in length. The record is from RNAcentral. Lineage: Duplodnaviria; Heunggongvirae; Uroviricota; Caudoviricetes.